Molecule: unclassified non-coding RNA, 336 nt
Filed under: soil metagenome
Description: partial contains 5.8S ribosomal RNA, internal transcribed spacer 2, and large subunit ribosomal RNA
Rfam family: 5.8S ribosomal RNA (bases 1-120)
Source: RNAcentral
GAUGAAGAACGCAGCGAAAUGCGAUAAGUAAUGUGAAUUGCAGAAUUCAGUGAAUCAUCGAGUCUUUGAACGCAACUUGCGGCCGCUGGUAUUCCGGCGGCCAUGCCUGUCCGAGCGCCACUACAACCCUCAGGCUCACCCGCCUGGCGUUGAGGGCUGCCGCCACUCGGCGGCGGCCCCCGAAAAGCAGUGGCAGCGACGCAGCGGCGUGACGUGUGUAGUAACUUCACUGGCACGGAGCCCCUGCGUUCGCCCGCCGGCGAACCCCAACUCACAAGGUUGGCCUCGGAUCAGGUAGGAUUACCCGCUGAACUUAAGCAUAUCAUAAGCGGAGGA